GACGAACGCUGGCGGCGUGCCUAAUACAUGCAAGUUGAGCGCUGAAGGUUGGUACUUGUACCAACUGGAUGAGCAGCGAACGGGUGAGUAACGCGUGGGGAAUCUGCCUUUGAGCGGGGGACAACAUUUGGAAACGAAUGCUAAUACCGCAUAAAAACUUUAAACACAAGUUUUAAGUUUGAAAGAUGCAAUUGCAUCACUCAUAGAUGAUCCCGCGUUGUAUUAGCUAGUUGGUGAGGUAAAGGCUCACCAAGGCGAUGAUACAUAGCCGACCUGAGAGGGUGAUCGGCCACAUUGGGACUGAGACACGGCCCAAACUCCUACGGGAGGCAGCAGUAGGGAAUCUUCGGCAAUGGACGAAAGUCUGACCGAGCAACGCCGCGUGAGUGAAGAAGGUUUUCGGAUCGUAAAACUCUGUUGGUAGAGAAGAACGUUGGUGAGAGUGGAAAGCUCAUCAAGUGACGGUAACUACCCAGAAAGGGACGGCUAACUACGUG
RNAcentral lists this ribosomal RNA (497 nucleotides) under uncultured bacterium. Its description in RNAcentral is "partial 16S ribosomal RNA". It matches the Rfam family "Bacterial small subunit ribosomal RNA", at positions 28 to 507 of the family's 1533-position model. The record is from RNAcentral.